UUUUUUAACAGAGGAAAACUGGAGUGUGCCCUUUUUGGAGAGUAUGUUCAGAUUGUAUUGGACUACCUUAGUUCUAAUCCUUUGGAAAAGCCUGUUGUGGUUCUCCAGCUUGCAAAGCUUAAGUCAUUUAGAGGUAAGAAUGUUCUUCAGAAUGUAAUGAAAGCAUCGAGGAUUAUCUUUAAUCCUGAGGUUGCUGAAGCUGAAUCUUUGAUGGACCGCAUAUCUGGCCUUAAUAUGCAGGCCAAUCAACCUGUGGGGCAUAUUAUUUCUCCUAAUCCUUCUGUUCCAAUUUUUGAAGAUUUUAUGAACAACUAUCCUCAGAAAACUAUAUGUGCUUUGAAUGAAACUACUGA
Molecule: long non-coding RNA, 353 nt
Organism: Lotus japonicus
Lineage: Eukaryota; Viridiplantae; Streptophyta; Magnoliopsida; Fabales; Fabaceae
Exons: 3
Source: RefSeq, a predicted model, not a curated record